RNAcentral lists this long non-coding RNA (496 nucleotides) under Gorilla gorilla gorilla (western lowland gorilla). RNAcentral's name for it is "lncRNA (ENSGGOG00000044614.1)". Lineage: Eukaryota; Metazoa; Chordata; Mammalia; Primates; Hominidae. The record is from RNAcentral.
UGGAUCUGAAGAUUCAAAGAAUUGCCAUGGCUCAAAAGUAGACAUUUUGGUAAAUGUGAAGAAGUGAGAUUCAAUGAAGAUGAUAAGAAAUGAAAGGUGUUACCAAAAGCUUCUUCUACCGCCAGAAUUGGCAGUUUCCCUCGCUGGAUUCUUGGGACCUGAUCCAGGCAGCACACUCGACACACUCAGCGAUUCAGCUCUACAGUAUGCACUCUGGGAUCUCCCAUUUGCUAAGGAAAAAUCUUAGCUUUGAGAAAGUGGCAAGAGAUCCCCUCUUGAGGAGACUCCACAGGAACACCAGAGAUGAUAGUGACACACGACAACUGAAGGUCAGGCCACCUGGUUUCGUCUGGGAAAAAGUUACUUUCUUCGCUUUAUCUUCUUGAAUUAAAAUAAGGUAUGAGAAUCUGACCCUACAUAUCAUAGGUGACUUAUACAGUGUUCUUGGUGGGGGGAAUUCUGAGUGAGUCUGUUCCCCACUGAGGCUUGAUUUAAG